RNAcentral lists this long non-coding RNA (939 nucleotides) under Numida meleagris (helmeted guineafowl). Its description in RNAcentral is "lncRNA (ENSNMEG00000019728.1)". Lineage: Eukaryota; Metazoa; Chordata; Aves; Galliformes; Numididae. The record is from RNAcentral.
UUUGUCCAAACUCUUCCUUUUAAAGAACAUUAAAGCCUGGAUCACCCCUAUGAAAUGCUAUUAUGUAACAGCAUGUAGUUUGAAAGUGUACUCCACUGUUUGUAAAAAGAAAAUGGUUUCCGCUGAUGUAAAAAAAGCUGUAAGCACUGGUUAUUCAGUGAACUCAAUAUAAGUAGCCCAAUCCACACUUUUUAAUAAUUCUCCUGCUUUCCUAUGGAACAGAAGCAAUUUAUGUUCUCUAUUUCUUUUUAUUUCUGUCUAUCAUGCUCACCGUAUGGUCCCCAGAAGUCUUUGUAAUUACAGUAAUGCAGGGAGUCGUAGUAUCAUUUUGUAAAUGAAGAAAUGAAACACAGCUGGGGUAAAUAAACCAAGUAAAAAAAAAGUUAAGUUUUUUUUUUUUUAAGUGAAAAUUUAAAUCCAAUUAGUUUUCAGUAUUUGGGGAUGUUGCUCAAUCUAUAAAUUUGUUUGUUUGUUUGUUUUAAAAUCUAUUUCUCUUUGUGUAUCUCAAGAACAGAGUAAGACUCAACUCAAGCAUUUUUAGAUGUAAUUUACAUUCAGAAUGUGGAAGACUGAUGCAUUUCUAGUCUUGGAAGAAAUGAUGAAAAACCAAAAAGUAAAGGGAAUGUGAAACUCAAUUUAUGCUGGAAACUGAAAAUGACAGGGUCUUUUUGGAUGGUGGUUGGCAGCCGACAGCUCCUUCUGAAACAGAUUUUUCCAUCUCCCUUGGAAAUCCCUUUACAAGGCUGUGCGUUUUUAUUAAGAAGAGCAAAGGUGCAGAGUGAGGAAGAGUGUGAAGAGGGACUUGAGGAAUUUCCAUUAGCACAUCCCAAAAUUGCUUUGAGAGACCAGAAGCUGCUCAGAAGCACCAGUUCUCUUCUGCACAAACAGAAUUGAAACUCAGCUGCUGCCAGACUAAUAAAAUCUGUUAAUCAAAUAACA